This 881-nucleotide ribosomal RNA is filed under the name Salmonella enterica. RNAcentral's name for it is "partial 23S ribosomal RNA". It matches the Rfam family "Bacterial large subunit ribosomal RNA", at positions 305 to 1190 of the family's 2925-position model. The record is from RNAcentral. Lineage: Bacteria; Pseudomonadati; Pseudomonadota; Gammaproteobacteria; Enterobacterales; Enterobacteriaceae.
AGAGCCUGAAUCAGCAUGUGUGUUAGUGGAAGCGUCUGGAAAGGCGCGCGAUACAGGGUGACAGCCCCGUACACAAAAGCGCAUGUGCUGUGAGCUCGAUGAGUAGGGCGGGACACGUGGUAUCCUGUCUGAAUAUGGGGGGACCAUCCUCCAAGGCUAAAUACUCCUGACUGACCGAUAGUGAACCAGUACCGUGAGGGAAAGGCGAAAAGAACCCCGGCGAGGGGAGUGAAAAAGAACCUGAAACCGUGUACGUACAAGCAGUGGGAGCACAGGUUUACCUGUGUGACUGCGUACCUUUUGUAUAAUGGGUCAGCGACUUAUAUUCUGUAGCAAGGUUAACCGAAUAGGGGAGCCGGAGGGAAACCGAGUCUUAAUUGGGCGUUAAGUUGCAGGGUAUAGACCCGAAACCCGGUGAUCUAGCCAUGGGCAGGUUGAAGGUUGGGUAACACUAACUGGAGGACCGAACCGACUAAUGUUGAAAAAUUAGCGGAUGACCUGUGGCUGGGGGUGAAAGGCCAAUCAAACCGGGAGAUAGCUGGUUCUCCCCGAAAGCUAUUUAGGUAGCGCCUCGUGAAUUCAUCUCCGGGGGUAGAGCACUGUUUCGGCUAGGGGGCCAUCCCGGCUUACCAACCCGAUGCAAACUGCGAAUACCGGAGAAUGUUAUCACGGGAGACACACGGCGGGUGCUAACGUCCGUCGUGAAGAGGGAAACAACCCAGACCGCCAGCUAAGGUCCCAAAGUCAUGGUUAAGUGGGAAACGAUGUGGGAAGGCCCAGACAGCCAGGAUGUUGGCUUAGAAGCAGCCAUCAUUUAAAGAAAGCGUAAUAGCUCACUGGUCGAGUCGGCCUGCGCGGAAGAUGUAACGGGGCUAAACCAU